CCAAAGGAUCUGGAGAGGACAUGGGAUUGGCCAGCUUAGAUCAGCGGUUCCUUCUGGUCUAUCAGUCAUGGCAGGGGAGAAUAGAGGGUGUCUCAGGGCCUCCUGCGCGACCCCAAAUCCUCUUGGUCGCGGCCUCUAGCAUCCUUGACUCCUCCUUCUGCCUCAGCUGCUACCACAUUGACGGGCUCUCCAGGUGGGCGACGUUCAGCACAGCUUCAGGGACCUUGCAGCUCUGCAGCCAGAGAACUCCUCCAGGGCCCCAGGGCCCACAGAGCACGAUAAGGCUGGACGCGGCUCCUGACAUAUACAGCGAUGCUCAAUAAACAGUAGCGUGCCCUGAGUCCCCUGACCUCCCUCCACUUCUGCACCCGGAGGAAAAUGUCACACCAAAACGCAUGGUUUCUGAUUUCUUCAGGGUCACUGAAGGGAUGGGUGACACCAUCCAGAAGUGCAGCAGGGUUGACAUCCCAUGAGGCAAACGUUGACACGGGAUGGGAGGGAUCCUGAGGAUCAAUUGCCUCCCUACCCCCUCCCAUCACUAGAUGUUCACCAGUCUGCUCAGACAGCAUGUGUGGUCCUGCACAGAAGAAGAUAUACCUGAGACCAUCAGCCACACCUGUCACAAAGCUGUGUUUUGCGAAGUUCAGCCUUGCAUUUCCCGGUGUCUGCUCUCCCCAUCUCCCUGCCUCACUCUCCACUUUCCUCACUCCUGUGACCACUGGAUCACACUCUCCAUUAGCGUGAUAAGACAAGCUUUUUCCUUGGGCUCUGCUUUCUGGGAACCAGGCCUAAGGCAGUUGGUACUAAGCAUGGUCCUAGAGAGCAGAUCGUCAAGAUGGGACGUAGGAGCUGGGUUGCCCAUCUAUCUGAAGACAGUAGGGACCACUUCGCCGUGGAGAGUGGAGUGAUGAUCACCUCUGGCAUGCAGGGCUCCACAUACACUGAACUCUAACCUGUGGUUAACGAAAUAAGGCACGGCAGGAAGGGGAGGCAUUGGGAUAUGGCGUGGCUUUGGGCCUUGAUCAGUCUGGAGGAAAUCAUAAUGGGAAGGAUGGUGGUGAGGGCUGGCUGCUUUCAAAGGCUUGAAAGCCUGGCAAAAAUAAAAUGGUGGACCCAGGGAAGCUAACUGACAACUUAAGGUAUGUUUUGAAAGGCAGAAGGUCCCUUGGCAUCUUUAAAGGAUGAAGCCACAGGGCUGAAAACUGGACCCAGGGUUUGCUUAUUAAAGGGCAGACCUGCAAAGGAGAUGAAUGCAUAGUCUCACAAGUAUCCUUAAAGUCUGUGGCAGGGAAAGAGUGGGACCCUGAAUGUCAGAUGAGCACAUUUGUGGACACAAGCCUAAAAAUCUUGAACCUCAAAUUCUCCCUGAGCCUUCUGUGCCAGAAGCAGCAGCCCACCCACCUCUGCUGGUGGAGAACAGCUUCCCUCUCCUGGAGACCAUGCGAUGACACCACCCCAGGCAGAGUGAGCUGAAAAGGUAAGGUGGUCUUCAGAAAGUAGCAUGCUUGGAUUCAGAGGAUACAGUUACCGUUAAAGGCAAGCAUGAAUGUAGGACCUUGGGACUGAGAGGUGGAGAGAAGAUGUGAGAAAGGAGGUCCAGGAAGUGAGAGCCAGGCUGCUGGAAGAAUUAUCUCUGUGUACACUGAGGUCACCAAGUAUGGUGAUGGCGCAGUGUUGGGGAAACAGUGGACCAGGAUUUUCAAAUCUUCAUGGAAUGAGAGUGAGGGGGGUGACUAGGGGUCCAUAGAGGACUGGAACGGGGAGGAGCAUCAAAGGGUUUGAUGGCAUGACUUCAGAGCAGCGGUUUGCAGAGAACACAUGAGAAGGAACAAUCGGAAAGUGCCGAUGAAGAGCCAGGAGCAUCCUCCUCCCACCUGCCAGGCCUGGUCAAGGGCUGCGGUUGAACAAGGAAGGCACCGCUGGAGAGGCUGCGGGGGAAGUGGUGUUCUCGGAGGGAAGCACAGUUUCCCCUUGGAAAGAAAUGCCGCAUUUCAGUUAGAGGUCGGAGAAAAUAAAGAUGUAGCUGUUUCUCCCGUUCCCACGCACAAACUCCAUGGACCGCAUCUUAAGAAGCCCUGCAGAUGGAGUGGAAUAUUACACAGUGGUCAAGAGACUGAACUUUUGACUCAGACAGCCUGGCUCCCAACCUCGGCUCUGGCACUUGUUUUGUGACCUUUCCAAGUGACAGUCUCCUCAUCUGGAAAAUGAGGAGCCAGCCCGACAUCCCCCAGCUGUCCUGAGGACUAAAGAACUCCUGUGUGUGGAUUCCUUAGCCCAGCACCCCAAACCUGGUGUACGCUCAGUGGGCAGCUGUUCCAUUAACAUGGGAAUCAGUAAUACGGAGCCAGCCUGUGCUCUGGACGAGGUUCUGGGCAGAGAAGUGUCAUCUCAUCUCUGUUCUCCACAGGCAGGGAGGGUCUCUCAGCUACUUUGGAACUCAGAGAGAUGCCUUUCUCACGCUGGAUUCUGAAGCCCAGCCAGGGUCCUAGCCUCCAUGACCAGAGAGACAGAGAGUGGAAGGGAAAAGCCAGGCCCGAGGGAAUAGGGCCUUGCGGUGACACACUGGUCAAAGGAUGGCGCUAUGUGAGGAGUGACAAGGGCAGGGACUGGCCAGCUCCAAGAGGUGCUCCCAGG
Equus caballus (horse) is the source of this 2634-nucleotide long non-coding RNA. The record is from Ensembl. Lineage: Eukaryota; Metazoa; Chordata; Mammalia; Perissodactyla; Equidae.